UUGGCUCAGGAUGAACGCUGGCGGCGUGCUUAACACAUGCAAGUCGAACGGAGUGGUCCUCCCGAAGACCUGAUUGAGCUUGCUCUUGAUGGAAUUCAUUUGGAUCACUUAGUGGCGGACGGGUGAGUAACGCGUGGGUAACCUGCCCUAUACUGGGGGAUAGCAGUUGGAAACGACUGCUAAUACCGCAUAAGCGCACGGUAUCGCAUGAUACAGUGUGAAAAACUCCGGUGGUAUAAGAUGGACCCGCGUCUGAUUAGCUGGUUGGUGAGGUAACGGCCCACCAAGGCGACGAUCAGUAGCCGGCCUGAGAGGGUGAACGGCCACAUUGGGACUGAGACACGGCCCAAACUCCUACGGGAGGCAGCAGUGGGGAAUA
This 379-nucleotide ribosomal RNA is filed under the name uncultured rumen bacterium clone 5. RNAcentral describes it as "bacterial SSU rRNA". It matches the Rfam family "Bacterial small subunit ribosomal RNA", at positions 19 to 363 of the family's 1533-position model. The record is from RNAcentral.